Molecule: RNA transcript, 1423 nt
Organism: Pleuronectes platessa (European plaice)
Lineage: Eukaryota; Metazoa; Chordata; Actinopteri; Pleuronectiformes; Pleuronectidae
Gene name: LIM zinc-binding domain-containing Nebulette
Exons: 3
Source: RefSeq, a predicted model, not a curated record
GUAAUUACUCGUUACUCACUCCUUCACUUUGUGUAGAAGGAGGACAGGAAAGACUUUGAACAGGAAGUGAAGGGGCGUGGCUUAUCUGGCCAUGGCCUGGAGGAGACGCCAGAGCUGCUGAGGGCUCGAAACGCCACUCAGAUACUGAACCAGAGGGUUUACAAGCAGACAGAGCAGCUCCAUGAAACCUCCUACGGGACAGUGACCGACACUCCUGAGCUGCUGCACGCCUCCUACCUCAAAGACGUCUACAGUCAGAAGAAGUAUAAGGACGAGGCUGAGCGGCUGAAGGGAAGUUACAGUCACUUGUGUGAAACUCCAGAGAUGAAACGAGUCAAAGCCAACCAGCGACACAUCAGCUCAGUGAGGACGAGCUCCAAACACACACAUUCACUUUCCUCUGAACAACAACUCCCAUCUAACGCAGCCCUCUGGCGCCCUCUAGCUGCGGUACAGCUGGGACUCCAGGCUCAUGAGAGGACAUUCUGGAUGUUAACAGAUGUGUAAUUCCUGUGAACAGUGAACGCAGUAUGUUAUAACUAAUUUAGUCAUUGCCUUAUUCCUUUGUAUAUGGCAAGUUUUCAAUUGCAAAGUAGUAAAGAAAAGCUUCUCAGGUCAUUUAGCACUGCCAUCUACUGGCGAUAGUAAAUUCUGCAGCAGAUCAACAUACACUGACCUCCACACAUUAGUCAGAUUAGUUGUUCAUAAUAUAAUAUAAUAAUACCCUCAGUGGGCCUGAUGUUAACUAGUGAGGCAUAAUUGUCCACUAGUAAACUAGUUCGGGUUUGUUUGACCUUACUAGUUAACUAGUGCGGCUUAAAGAGAGUCACUAGCUAACUAGUAAGAGCCAAAAUGUCCACUAGUCACACUUUUUAAACCUUACUAGUAAACUAGUGAGGCUCAAAAUGGCUCACUAGCUUACUAGUGGAGCCUAAAAGUCCACUAGUGAGCUAGUUGGGGUCUUUUUGGCCGUACUAGUGAGCUAGUCACAGCCACAUUCUUUUACUAGUAAACUAGUAAGGUCCAAAAAGAGCCACUAGUAAACUAGUGGCCCUGAUGUUUCCCUCACUAGCUUACUAGUGGAAGACAUUUUGUCUCACUAGUUCAACUCUGUACAAAACAUGUAGGGACUCUGACCGAGCAUGUUGAACAUUUUUCUUACAUGUUGGCCAUUUUCUUCAACUAGUUCAGCUUUGCUCAGAACUAGUGAACGACUGUGCGCAACUAGUAAGACAUUUGAUCGACAUGUUGGGCUUUAUUUCCAGCUAGUUGGCAUUUUGGUUACACUAGUUGACUUUAUCAUCUUACUAGUUUGACAAAACUGCUUACUAGUCGACAUGCGCACGCAACUAGUUAACUAGUGAUGUGAUAAAAUGUCACUAGAUAACAUGUAGGACAAUACAGAAUUUCACUAGUAAAUUAA